UAGGGAAUCUUCGGCAAUGGGGGGAACCCUGACCGAGCAACGCCGCGUGAGUGAAGAAGGUUUUCGGAUCGUAAAGCUCUGUUGUUAAGGAAGAACGAGUGUGAGAAUGGAAAGUUCAUACUGUGACGGUACUUAACCAGAAAGGGACGGCUAACUACGUGCCAGCAGCCGCGGUAAUACGUAGGUCCCGAGCGUUGUCCGGAUUUAUUGGGCGUAAAGCGAGCGCAGGCGGUUAGAUAAGUCUGAAGUUAAAGGCAGUGGCUCAACCAUUGUAGGCUUUGGAAACUGUUUAACUUGAGUGCAGAAGGGGAGAGUGGAAUUCCAUGUGUAGCGGUGAAAUGCGUAGAUAUAUGGAGGAACACCGGUGGCGAAAGCGGCUCUCUGGUGUGUAACUGACGCUGAGGCUCGAAAGCGUGGGGAGCGAACAGG
RNAcentral lists this ribosomal RNA (429 nucleotides) under Bacteroidota bacterium. RNAcentral describes it as "Bacteroidetes bacterium partial 16S ribosomal RNA". It matches the Rfam family "Bacterial small subunit ribosomal RNA", at positions 355 to 776 of the family's 1533-position model. The record is from RNAcentral. Lineage: Bacteria; Pseudomonadati; Bacteroidota.